RNAcentral lists this ribosomal RNA (253 nucleotides) under uncultured bacterium. RNAcentral's name for it is "partial 16S ribosomal RNA". It matches the Rfam family "Bacterial small subunit ribosomal RNA", at positions 524 to 776 of the family's 1533-position model. The record is from RNAcentral.
UACAUGGGGUGCAAACGUUGCUCGGAAUUAUUGGGCGUAAAGCGCGCGUAGGCGGUUACUCAAGUCGGAUGUGAAAUCCCUCGGCUCAACUGAGGAACUGCCUUUGAAACUGUCGGGCUUGAGGCCGGGAGGGGGUAGCGGAAUUCCCAGUGUAGCGGUGAAAUGCGUAGAUAUUGGGAGGAACACCAGUGGCGAAGGCGGGUCUCUGGGCCGUAACUGACGCUGAGGAGCGAAAGCGUGGGGAGCGAACAGG